RNAcentral lists this ribosomal RNA (828 nucleotides) under uncultured bacterium. RNAcentral describes it as "bacterial SSU rRNA". It matches the Rfam family "Bacterial small subunit ribosomal RNA", at positions 8 to 811 of the family's 1533-position model. The record is from RNAcentral.
AGAGUUUGAUCCUGGCUCAGAACGAACGCUGGCGGCGUGCCUAACACAUGCAAGUCGUACGAGAAAAUCCGCUUCGGCGGGUGAGUAAAGUGGCGCACGGGUGAGUAACGCGUGGAUAAUCUGCCUUUAAGCGGGGAAUAACUUACCGAAAGGUGGGCUAAUACCCCAUAAAGCUAUGGAGCUCCGGUUUUCAUAGCCAAAGAGAGCCUCUGCAUGCAAGCCCUCACUUAGAGAUGAGUCCGCGUACCAUUAGCUAGUUGGUGGGGUAAUGGCCUACCAAGGCGACGAUGGUUAGCUGGUCUGAGAGGAUAAUCAGCCACACUGGAACUGAGACACGGUCCAGACUCCUACGGGAGGCAGCAGUGAGGAAUAUUGCGCAAUGGGGGCAACCCUGACGCAGCAACGCCGCGUGAGUGAGGAAGGUUUUCGGAUUGUAAAGCUCUGUCGGGUGGGAAGAAAUGUAUGGAGGUUAACAGCCUUUGUACUUGACGGUACCGCCAAAGGAAGCACCAGCUAACUCCGUGCCAGCAGCCGCGGUAAUACGGGGGGUGCUAGCGUUGUUCGGAAUCAUUGGGCGUAAAGAGCGUGUAGGCGGCUAGGCAAGUCAGAUGUGAAAUCCCUGGGCUUAACCCAGGACGUGCAUUUGAAACUGCUUGGCUUGAGUAGGGAAGAGGGAAGUGGAAUUCCUGGUGUAGAGGUGAAAUUCGUAGAUAUCAGGAGGAACACCGGUGGCGAAGGCGACUUCCUGGUCCUAUACUGACGCUGAGACGCGAGAGCGUGGGGAGCAAACAGGAUUAGAUACCCUGGUAGUCCACGCCGUAAACGAUG